Molecule: ribosomal RNA, 253 nt
Filed under: uncultured bacterium
Lineage: Bacteria
Description: partial 16S ribosomal RNA
Rfam family: Bacterial small subunit ribosomal RNA
Source: RNAcentral
UACGAGAGGCCCAAACGUUAUUCGGAUUUACUGGGCUUAAAGAGUUUGUAGGCGGUUCGGUAAGUGAGAUGUGAAAGCCCUCGGCUCAACCGAGGAAUUGCGUUUCAAACUGCCGGGCUCGAGGGAGAUAGAGGUGAGCGGAACUGAUGGUGGAGCGGUGAAAUGCGUUGAUAUCAUCAGGAACACCAGAGGCGAAGGCGGCUCACUGGGUCUCUUCUGACGCUGAGAAACGAAAGCUAGGGGAGCAAACAGG